UGUUGUAGGCCAAAAGAAUUCUCUUAUCAGCACUUAUUUGGAAAUCUAUCAAUUGAAGUCAUCAGUAAUUAUAAUCAAUCACUGAGAUGUCAAUAAUUGUUCCAGUAACACUGUGGAGCCACCAUGU
Long non-coding RNA from Etheostoma cragini (Arkansas darter), 127 nucleotides. RefSeq lists it as uncharacterized. The record is from RefSeq and is a predicted model, not a curated record. The transcript is spliced from 3 exons. Lineage: Eukaryota; Metazoa; Chordata; Actinopteri; Perciformes; Percidae.